This 429-nucleotide ribosomal RNA is filed under the name Chloroflexota bacterium. RNAcentral's name for it is "Chloroflexi bacterium partial 16S ribosomal RNA". It matches the Rfam family "Bacterial small subunit ribosomal RNA", at positions 355 to 776 of the family's 1533-position model. The record is from RNAcentral. Lineage: Bacteria; Bacillati; Chloroflexota.
UGGGGAAUAUUGCACAAUGGGCGCAAGCCUGAUGCAGCCAUGCCGCGUGUGUGAAGAAGGCCUUCGGGUUGUAAAGCACUUUCAGCGGGGAGGAAGGCGUUAAGGUUAAUAACCUUGGCGAUUGACGUUACCCGCAGAAGAAGCACCGGCUAACUCCGUGCCAGCAGCCGCGGUAAUACGGAGGGUGCAAGCGUUAAUCGGAAUUACUGGGCGUAAAGCGCACGCAGGCGGUCUGUCAAGUCGGAUGUGAAAUCCCCGGGCUCAACCUGGGAACUGCAUUCGAAAAUGGCAGGCUAGAGGCUUGUAGAGGGGGGUAGAAUUCCAGGUGUAGCGGUGAAAUGCGUAGAGAUCUGGAGGAAUACCGGUGGCGAAGGCGGCCCCCUGGACAAAGACUGACGCUCAGGUGCGAAAGCGUGGGGAGCAAACAGG